Molecule: ribosomal RNA, 253 nt
Filed under: uncultured bacterium
Lineage: Bacteria
Description: partial 16S ribosomal RNA
Rfam family: Bacterial small subunit ribosomal RNA
Source: RNAcentral
UACGAAGGGGGCUAGCGUUGUUCGGAAUUACUGGGCGUAAAGCGCACGUAGGCGGACUACUAAGUCAGGGGUGAAAUCCCGGGGCUCAACCCCGGAACUGCCUUUGAUACUGAUAGUCUCGAGUCCGGAAGAGGUGAGUGGAAUUCCGAGUGUAGAGGUGAAAUUCGUAGAUAUUCGGAGGAACACCGGUGGCGAAGGCGGCCUGCUGGGCAGUUGCUGACACUGAGGCGCGACAGCGUGGGGAGCAAACAGG